AUUUAUCUAAUAUAACAAGUAUAUUUGACUUCCAAUCAAAAAGUUUGACUAAACAAGAUAAAUA
Molecule: transfer RNA, 64 nt
Filed under: Cryptocercus tianbaensis
Lineage: Eukaryota; Metazoa; Arthropoda; Insecta; Blattodea; Cryptocercidae
Description: tRNA-Gly
Source: RNAcentral